Long non-coding RNA from Helianthus annuus (common sunflower), 479 nucleotides. RefSeq lists it as uncharacterized. The record is from RefSeq and is a predicted model, not a curated record. The transcript has 4 exons. NCBI's taxonomy places the organism in Eukaryota, Viridiplantae, Streptophyta, Magnoliopsida, Asterales, Asteraceae.
GAUCGAACAAGAGGGAGAGCAAGGGGAAACCCUAGUUCUUCAAAAUUUUACAAAAUUAAAGGAGGAAAAGGCUGAAUUAUCAAUGCAUGAGUUAGGAGAUGGAUUCCUUAAGUGUCUCUAACAUCAAGACAAAGAAGGAGGAAGGAACAAGCCACUCCAAAGCGCAAGGAACUCAAGACCACGGAAUCUAUAAUAAAAAUGCCUUAAUGCGAAUUGAUAGUAGGAAAAGAGAAAAAGUGUAUUGACGACCCGUGCAAAUGGGUCUAAAGUAAAUCUCAUGCUUAGGAUGGCGAGCUCGGAUCGAAUACACCACAUCACCCAUAUAUGCGCUUCCGGUUAAAGUCGCCUUCUUGUAAAACGAUCAAAAUGAUUUUUGUGAUGUAAAUGUUAAAGUUAAGUCUAGGAUGUUCAUAAAUUGUUUGGACAUUUUCUUUAAAAUCUUAAUUUGGGUAUUUUGGUCAAAAUACUUGUAAUGAAUU